GCAGGUGUGGCGGAAUUGGCAGACGCACUAGACUUAGGAUCUAGCGCUUCACGGCGUGCAGGUUCAACUCCUGUCACCUGCACCA
This 85-nucleotide transfer RNA is filed under the name Clostridium algidicarnis. RNAcentral's name for it is "tRNA-Leu". It matches the Rfam family "tRNA". From Rfam's summary of the family: Transfer RNA (tRNA) molecules are approximately 80 nucleotides in length. Their secondary structure includes four short double-helical elements and three loops (D, anti-codon, and T loops). Lineage: Bacteria; Bacillati; Bacillota; Clostridia; Eubacteriales; Clostridiaceae. RNAcentral also lists the same sequence under 1 other name. The record is from RNAcentral.